UAAAAAUUGAGUUUGAUGAUGGCUCUGAUUGAACGCUAUCCAAGUGCUUGACACAUGCUAAUCGAACGUCAUUAUCUAUAUAAGAUAAUGAAGUGGUGUACAGGUGAGUAAAUAUUUUAACUACCUUAAAGAAAGGGGAAAAUCCCUUAUAAAAAAAAAAUAAAACAAAGUUUUGCUUUAAGAUGUUAAUAAAUAUAUCGGAAAGUAUUAGAUAAGGUAAAAACUUAACUAGCGAUAAUUCCGUAGUCGAGACUGAGAGGUCGAUCGAUCACAUUGGGUCUGAAAAAAGCCCAAUGCGUAUUAGUACAGCAGUGAGGAAUAUUGGUCAAUGGCCUAACGGCUGAACCAGCAACUUGGAAGAAUGAGAAGUAUUAAAAAAAAUUAAUACGAAACGAAUAUAUCGUAUGAAAUUCUAGAUAAAUUAUUGAUAAUGACAAUUAUUUAUUUAUAAGUCUUGACCAAAUUACGUGCCAGCAGUCGCGGUAAUACGUAGAAGACUAGUGUUAAUCAUCUUUAUUAGGUUUAAAGGGUACCUAGACGGUAAAUUAAACCCGAGAGGGUACUUUUUUACUAGAGUUUUAUAAGAGAAGGGGAGAAUUUUUGGAGUAAAGAUAAAAUUUAAUUAUACCAAAAGGACUGAUAACGGCGUAGGCGGCCUUUUAUGUAAAAACUGACGUUGAGGGACGAAGGCUUGGGUAGCAAUAAGGAUUAGAUACCCUAGUAGUCCAAGCAGAAAAUUAUGAAUGUCAUAAGUUAGAUAUAAUUUAACUUAUAAAUGAAAGUGUAAGCAUUCCACCUCAAGAGUAAGAUGGCAACAUUGAAACUGAAAUCAUUAGACCGUUUCUGAAACCAGUAGUGAAGUAUGUUAUUUAAUUCGAUAAUCCGCGAAAAACCUUACCACACUUUGUAUAAUAUUAAAUUAUUACAAGCGCUGCACGGCUGUCUUCAGUUAAUGUCGUGAGAUUUGGUUAACUCCUUAAAUUAACGAAAACCCUCAUUUUAUUUAUUUAUAUAAAAUGGUUCACCAUUAUAUAGGAUUUGAUAAAAGGGAUUAAGACAAGUCAUCAUGGCCAAAAUAGUGUGGGCUAUAGACGUGCCACAGAUACCUUAACAAAGGGAUGCUAUAUUGUAAAAUGGAGCUAAUCCUCAAAAUUGGUUAAUAAGAAUUGUAGUCUGAAAUUCGACUACAUGAAUAAGGAAUUACUAGUAAUCGUGAAUCACCACGUCACGGUGAAUCUAUUCUCAGUUAGGUACUAACCACUCGUCAGGCGCUGAAAGAAGUAUAUGCAAUAAGUUUGAUUUGUGUUUAUUUUAAUAUAUAUAGUUAUUUAUAUAUAAAUAAACAUAUAAUUUUCGUAUGUGUGACUUUGAUUGGUGUUAAGUCGAAAUACGGUUCGUGUAAUGGAAAUUGCACGGGAUGAAUGAUUUUU
Molecule: ribosomal RNA, 1430 nt
Filed under: Coccidioides immitis H538.4
Lineage: Eukaryota; Fungi; Ascomycota; Eurotiomycetes; Onygenales; Onygenaceae
Description: Bacterial small subunit ribosomal RNA
Rfam family: Bacterial small subunit ribosomal RNA
Source: Rfam by way of RNAcentral